This 4105-nucleotide unclassified non-coding RNA is filed under the name Hevea brasiliensis (rubber tree). Lineage: Eukaryota; Viridiplantae; Streptophyta; Magnoliopsida; Malpighiales; Euphorbiaceae. The record is from RNAcentral.
UAAAAUUGAGGACUAAAUAUACAUUAUUCUUCUCUUAUAGGAAUAGGAACUCUAAAAUGUUGGAUUUCUGAAGCUGGAGCCGGUCAAGGUGGGGGCAUUGAGCAGACAAAUUUAUUGUAGAAAGAUUUGUCUUUGGCCACUCAGAAGAGGAAUUCUUCUCGUCGUAGUCUACCAAGAUAAUGAAUGAGUAGACAUGGUAUCGUUAAACAAAUUGUUGGUGACCUCUCUUUCGUCAACUCCUCACCCUUCGCAAAACUCUUGGAUUCAUGUGUCAAAUCCCACUCUGCCCGCGAUACAAGUCGCAUACAUGCACGCAUCAUCAAAACCCACUUUGCCUAUGAAGUGUAUAUACAGAAUAAACUCAUUGAUGCUUAUGGCAAGUGCGAUUGUUUGGAUGAUGCGCGCAAGGUGUUCGAUAAAAUGCCCGAGAAGAACACUUUUACCUGGAACUCCAUUAUGAGCACGUUGAUGAAGUCUGGUUUUCUCGAUGAGGGCGCUUGGUUAUUUGCAUCAAUGCCCGAGCCUGACCAAUGCUCUUGGAAUUCAAUCAUUGCUGGUUUUGCUCAGCAUGAUCGGUUUGAAGAAGCUUUGGAUUUUUUUGUUAGGAUGCAUGGGAAAGGUUUUGUUCUUAAUGAGUAUACGUUUGGUAGUGCUCUUAGUGCUUGUGCAGGGUUAAAGCAUCUGAAAAUGGGUACCCAAAUUCACGGUUUGAUGUUUAAAUCUCAAUUCUCAUUGGAUGUUUAUAUGGGCUCUGCUCUUGUUGACAUAUAUUCUAAAUGUGGGGUUGUGGCUUGUGCUCAAAGGGUUUUUGAUGGGAUGAGAGAGAGGAAUGUUGUUUCUUGGAAUAGCUUGAUUACGUGUUAUGAACAAAAUGGUCCAGCAAGGGAAGCUUUGGAAGUUUUUGAAAGGAUGUUAGAGAGGGGGUUUGAACCAGAUGAGAUUACAUUGGCCAGUGUGGUAAGUGCUUGUGCAAGCUUGGCAGCAAUUAAACAAGGUUUAGAAAUUCAUGCCUGUGUGGUGAAAUGUGAUAAACUUAGGGAUGAUCUUAUAUUAUGUAAUGCAUUGGUUGAUAUGUAUGCAAAAUGCUGUAGGAUUAAUGAAGCUAGAUGUGUUUUUGAUAGAAUGCCAUUUAGGAAUGUGGUGUCUGAAACCUCCAUGGUGAGUGGUUAUGCAAAGGCAGCAAGUGUUAAAGCUGCAAGAUUAGUGUUUGCAAAGAUGAUGGAGAGAAAUGUAGUGUCUUGGAAUGCCCUUAUUGCAGGAUAUACUCAAAAUGGGGAGAAUGAAGAGGCACUUGGACUCUUCUGCAUGUUAAAGAGGGAAGGUAUAUGCCCAACCCACUACACCUUUGGGAACCUAUUGAAUGCCUGUUCAAAUCUUGCUGAUCUGCAGCUUGGAAGACAGGCGCACACUCAUGUUUUGAAGCAUGGAUUUCAGUUUCAAUCCAGGGAAGAUUCUGAUGUUUUUUUAGGGAAUGCUCUCAUAGACAUGUACAUGAAAUGUGGAUCAGUUGAGGAAGGGUGUCGGGUUUUUGAAAAUAUGGUGGAAAGGGAUUAUGUUUCAUGGAAUGCCAUGAUAGUAGGGUAUGCACAAAAUGGUUAUGGGAUGGAGGCCCUUGAAUUAUUUAGGAAAAUGUUGGCAUCCGGAGAGAAACCAGACCAUGUUACUUUAAUUGGUGCUUUAUGUGCUUGUAGCCAUGCAGGGCUUGUAGAAGAGGGUCGACGAUACUUUUCCACAAUGACGGAGGAGUAUGGUGUGGAACCAUUGAAGGACCAUUAUACAUGCAUGGUUGAUUUACUUGGUCGAGCUGGAUGCCUCAAUGAAGCCAAAAAUUUGAUAGAGGCAAUGCCUAUGCAGCCCGAUGCAGUUGUCUGGGGAUCUUUGCUUGCUGCUUGUAAAGUUCAUCACAACAUUACCUUGGGGGAGUACGCUGCAGAGAAGCUAUUAGAAAUUGACUCAACAAACUCUGGACCCUAUGUUCUUCUCUCAAAUAUGUAUGCUGAGCUUGGCAGAUGGAAGGAUGUCAUGAGAGUAAGAAAAUUGAUGAGGCAUCGAAGAGUCAUUAAGCAGCCUGGUUGCAGCUGGAUUGAAAUACUAGGCCAUGUGCACGUUUUCAUGGUGAAAGAUAAGAAACACUGUCGGAGGAACGAGAUCUAUUUGCUUUUGAAAAUUCUUACAGAGCAUAUGAAGAGAGCUGGAUAUGUCCCAGACGUUGGUGAUCAUGAGGCUUACGAGGAACAGACUGACUUAGAGGUGAGCACGUGCUUCCAAAUGGAAAUACCAGAAGAGUUUGCUGUCAUGUAAUUUGUGUGGGAAUGAUUUGGUUCCAAUGUUCUAUUCUUGAUGCUUGUUUUACCAAAGCCUGACCAAUUGUUUUAUUAACUUACCGAUGGGAAAUAAAAGAUCCUCUGCCAUGUUAUGCUCAAAAGUUACACACUUUGAUAAGAGCCAAUAAUGUUUUAUUAGAGGCAAUCUUAUUGUUAUACAUAUGUUGGACAUAUAUGCGACAAGGGAAUGAAUCACUGCCCUUUAGAUGGGGUUAUGCUAUAAUUACAUUGUUUACACUUUUUCUAAGCCUAGUACUAAUAUAUAGCUUACAUACUAAAAAAUGGUUUCCUCCACAACUAGAACAAGUUAAAUUUGUUACAACUAGCUCAUUUUCAGUGCCGCACUUUCUACUCCAUGAUAUAAUUUUCGUUUCUGCUUAAAUCUAAAAUUUCUUGCUCUGUAUGAAAGCCACGAAAUUCUACCACUAAACCAGUCAAAAGAAAUUGUCAAGGUUAUUGCAUUUGGGCCAAUGAGUUGAAAAGGCAGGUGAACUAGCUUGAUAGCAACAACAUAAAAUGAACUCUCUUCCAAGAGGUCUUCUCCGCUGGAAUGCCCCUUUCUUGCUAGAAAGAUUGGCAAAGCUUCUAUUGCUCAACACAGAGAAUGUAAACGAAAAAGCUACUAGGUCCUGCCUCUUCUUUGCUCCAUUCGGACACUCUUCUAAAGAUUUCAAAGGAUUUGAUAAUUGCAUCCUCCGGUAGGCAAUGAGUUCUUUGGUUCGAAAAUUAAUCCAAACCUGUUAGUCUCUUUUUCUGUGAAGAAACUGAAAAGAUAUCUUUUCAAGUACACAGGAGCUGGAAUGGUAGAAACCAAAAGAGCAGUGAGAACAAUUUCUAAUAAAUAAGUAGCAUACGAACUUUGACCUCAUGAAAAUCAGCUGAAACAGCUCUGGAGUCUGGAUGAAUAUUCUGUCGAGAAUAACCAUUUGGGUUAAAGGGGAAACGAGGGAGUUGAUUAUAAAUUUACAGGCGGAAGAGAAGUAAAUAGUGGCUUGGGUAUACGAAUUGUAGCCCGUCAGCUGCGCCUUUUCUUCUUAUGCAGGAGACGCGAUGAAUGGGAUAACAAAUGAUCAUCGUGCAGCCAAUCACCGGAACGGCCCUAUGAUUGACGAUUUAAACCCAAGCAAUGGUGGUAGCACCCAUCCCUUUCAAAAUGCCUGGGCAGAUGCAAGCUUCCCAUCACCACAUUAAAAUAUUGGCCAAUACCGUACAAGAUAAAUCCUGAGCAUGGCAAUAGCAGACAAUUGAGUUUCUGCUAUUAUAAGCGCUGAUUACAAUCAAUAAUCCAUUCAACAUAUCUAUUUGAAUACCAUGAAGGCCAAGUGACAUCAUCUGGAAAGGGCGCAACAUGACACUUUUAAAAGUCACCCAGAAAUAGGUGGGAAGAAACACCAAACAGCGGGAGAAAGCUGCAUAUCAGAACUCCAUACAAGAAAAUGCAUGGACUUACAAGUGAUUCCUGAAUCCAACAUCAACACAACUCCUUCAGCUAAAAAGGAAAAAUUCCUAACAGAAGCAUCUCAUGAUUAAGGGUAAAAUUGAAAAAUACAAAACUAAAAUCACAAGCCUAGAAAUGCAAGUCAAAGUACCUACCCCGUAGGAUGAAAAUUGAUUCCUAUGAACCUAAUAUUCCAUUUUAACAACUGCAUUUGAAGUCUCCAUUGACAAUGCCGACGAUCCAUAUUGGAGCCAAUCCUUAGCACAAACAAGGGCUUCAAGUGUCACAGGUCGCAAUGAACUCCGGUAGCUAUCUAUCUUUUUACUUCCAGUGUCAAAUACAG